Molecule: ribosomal RNA, 253 nt
Filed under: uncultured bacterium
Lineage: Bacteria
Description: partial 16S ribosomal RNA
Rfam family: Bacterial small subunit ribosomal RNA
Source: RNAcentral
UACGUAGGGUGCAAGCGUUAAUCGGAAUUACUGGGCGUAAAGCGUGCGCAGGCGGUUUUGUAAGUCUGACGUGAAAUCCCCGGGCUCAACCUGGGAAUUGCGUUGGAGACUGCAAGGCUUGAAUCUGGCAGAGGGGGGUAGAAUUCCAUGUGUAGCGGUGAAAUGCGUAGAGAUGUGGAGGAACACCAGUGGCGAAGGCAGCCCCCUGGGUCAAGAUUGACGCUCAUGCACGAAAGCGUGGGGAGCAAACAGG